Molecule: long non-coding RNA, 659 nt
Organism: Hordeum vulgare subsp. vulgare (domesticated barley)
Lineage: Eukaryota; Viridiplantae; Streptophyta; Magnoliopsida; Poales; Poaceae
Exons: 2
Source: RefSeq, a predicted model, not a curated record
GGGCCUGGAGUCCAAAGGCACAGCUACAAAAGAACAUAGCACCCUUCUUCGAAGGAGACACCAUCACGGAGACUCGGAUACAGCGCUGCUUCUGCCUGCCAAACACCAGCAUUCCAUCAAUCACCAAGGAACAUCGCAUGAUAUUUUUAAAAUGCAUCACCAAUCACCAAGGAACAUGUACCUGUUUCAACUGGCUCCUGUAAAUAGAUUUUUUUUUCCUUAUGCCUAUUUUUUUUACUUGUUAUAACGGUGUGCUUGCUAGAAAAAUAGAUGUGACUAGCUUGUUGUUUCUUUUUUAAGUGAUAUGUGUUACAUUGGAUGCAUUUUAAUACUGACCAUAUCUUUUGCAUGUUCAUAUUAUUGCAAGAACUGUUACAAUUAUUAGUUGAAUCUCCAGGGCGAGGAUCUUUUGCAGUCCUCAUUGAUUGUAAACUCAAGUGCUACAUGUUGAGGAAAAGAAUAGAGGAUAUACUCGGAAGAUCAAUUGAUCUAUUUACACUGCGUGCAGGAGGACAAUAUCUUCAAGAUAAUGUUACUCUCAAAGACUACAAACUGUCUUAUAAUGCAACUGUCCAGUUAAUGUUACGACUCCUCGGAGGGGCUGAUAGUCCGCCUUCAAGAAAAAGGUCUCGUCAAGAAUUGAGUCUUAGAUUUGACGA